This 387-nucleotide ribosomal RNA is filed under the name uncultured bacterium. Its description in RNAcentral is "bacterial SSU rRNA". It matches the Rfam family "Bacterial small subunit ribosomal RNA", at positions 28 to 417 of the family's 1533-position model. The record is from RNAcentral.
GACGAACGCUGGCGGCGUGCUUAACACAUGCAAGUCGAGCGGUAAGGCCCUUUCGGGGGUACACGAGCGGCGAACGGGUGAGUAACACGUGGGUGACCUGCCCUUAGCUCUGGGAUAAGCCUGGGAAACUGGGUCUAAUACCGGAUAUGACUCCAUGACGCAUGUUGUGGGGUGGAAAGCCUUGUGCGGCUAGGGAUGGGCCCGCGGCCUAUCAGCUUGUUGGUGGGGUGAUGGCCUACCAAGGCGACGACGGGUAGCCGGCCUGAGAGGGCGACCGGCCACACUGGGACUGAGACACGGCCCAGACUCCUACGGGAGGCAGCAGUGGGGAAUCUUGCGCAAUGGGCGAAAGCCUGACGCAGCGACGCCGCGUGAGGAUGACGGCCU